RNAcentral lists this microRNA (21 nucleotides) under Arachis hypogaea (peanut). RNAcentral's name for it is "ahy-miR156b-3p". Its record names the gene ahy-miR156b-3p. Lineage: Eukaryota; Viridiplantae; Streptophyta; Magnoliopsida; Fabales; Fabaceae. RNAcentral also lists the same sequence under 1 other name. The record is from miRBase by way of RNAcentral.
GCUCUCUAAGCUUCUGUCAUC